This 92-nucleotide non-coding RNA is filed under the name Aspergillus fischeri NRRL 181. Lineage: Eukaryota; Fungi; Ascomycota; Eurotiomycetes; Eurotiales; Aspergillaceae. The record is from RNAcentral.
ACCCAGCCCUAUAGGCAGGCACCUCUACACAGUGCUGAGGACUAGUACUUGCUAGAGUAUAUCACUUAUUAGUAAGGAAGCUAAGGUCUGCC